GGCGGCGUGCUUAAACAUGCAAGUCGAACGAUGAAGCCCUUCGGGGUGGAUUAGUGGCGAACGGGUGAGUAACACGUGGGCAAUCUGCCCUUCACUCUGGGACAAGCCCUGGAAACGGGGUCUAAUACCGGAUACGACCUGGGAAGGCAUCUUCUCGGGUGGAAAGCUCCGGCGGUGAAGGAUGAGCCCGCGGCCUAUCAGCUUGUUGGUGGGGUAAUGGCCUACCAAGGCGACGACGGGUAGCCGGCCUGAGAGGGCGACCGGCCACACUGGGACUGAGACACGGCCCAUACUCCUACGGGAGGCAGCAGUGGGGAAUAUUGCACAAUGGGCGCAAGCCUGAUGCAGCGACGCCGCGUGAGGGAUGACGGCCUUCGGGUUGUAAACCUCUUUCAGCAGGGAAGAAGCGCAAGUGACGGUACCUGCAGAAGAAGCGCCGGCUAACUACGUGCCAGCAGCCCGGUUUAAUA
RNAcentral lists this ribosomal RNA (470 nucleotides) under Streptomyces sp. BAB-2858. Its description in RNAcentral is "bacterial SSU rRNA". It matches the Rfam family "Bacterial small subunit ribosomal RNA", at positions 38 to 525 of the family's 1533-position model. The record is from RNAcentral. Lineage: Bacteria; Bacillati; Actinomycetota; Actinomycetes; Kitasatosporales; Streptomycetaceae.